UAAAAAGGUAAACCCUGGUUUCCGUGUCUGACGUUUGACCGUCCGUCUUAUUUUAUAAAAAUAUAAAAAAAAUUAAAAAGACAAGUCACGCACAAAGUAUUAAUCAUGUUUUAUCAUCUAACAAUAAUAAAAAUACGAAUUAUAAAAAAAUUUUAUAUAAGACAGACAGUCAAAGUUGGACACGGAAACACAUGGUUUGUCUUUUU
MicroRNA precursor from Oryza sativa Indica Group (long-grained rice), 206 nucleotides. It matches the Rfam family "MIR812 microRNA precursor family". The record is from Rfam. NCBI's taxonomy places the organism in Eukaryota, Viridiplantae, Streptophyta, Magnoliopsida, Poales, Poaceae.